GACGAACGCUGGCCCCGUGCUUAACACAUGCAAGUCGAACGGAAAGGCCCUGCUUUUGUGGGGUGCUCGAGUGGCGAACGGGUGAGUAACACGUGAGUAACCUGCCCUUGACUUUGGGAUAACUUCAGGAAACUGGGGCUAAUACCGGAUAGGAGCUCCUGCUGCAUGGUGGGGGUUGGAAAGUUUCGGCGGUUGGGGAUGGACUCGCGGCUUAUCAGCUUGUUGGUGGGGUAGUGGCUUACCAAGGCUUUGACGGGUAGCCGGCCUGAGAGGGUGACCGGCCACAUUGGGACUGAGAUACGGCCCAGACUCCUACGGGAGGCAGCAGUGGGGAAUAUUGCACAAUGGGCGGAAGCCUGAUGCAGCAACGCCGCGUGCGGGAUGACGGCCUUCGGGUUGUAAACCGCUUUCGCCUGUGACGAAGCGUGAGUGACGGUAAUGGGUAAAGAAGCACCGGCUAACUACGUGCCAGCAGCCGCGGUGAUACGUAGGGUGCGAGCGUUGUCCGGAUUUAUUGGGCGUAAAGGGCUCGUAGGUGGUUGAUCGCGUCGGAAGUGUAAUCUUGGGGCUUAACCCUGAGCGUGCUUUCGAUACGGGUUGACUUGAGGAAGGUAGGGGAGAAUGGAAUUCCUGGUGGAGCGGUGGAAUGCGCAGAUAUCAGGAGGAACACCAGUGGCGAAGGCGGUUCUCUGGGCCUUUCCUGACGCUGAGGAGCGAAAGCGUGGGGAGCGAACAGGCUUAGAUACCCUGGUAGUCCACGCUGUAAACGGUGGGUACUAGGUGUGGGGUCCAUUCCACGGGUUCCGUGCCGUAGCUAACGCUUUAAGUACCCCGCCUGGGGAGUACGGCCGCAAGGCUAAAACUCAAAGGAAUUGACGGGGCCCCGCACAAGCGGCGGAGCAUGCGGAUUAAUUCGAUGCAACGCGUAGAACCUUACCUGGGUUUGACAUGGAUCGGGAGUGCUCAGAGAUGGGUGUGCCUCUUUUGGGGUCGGUUCACAGGUGGUGCAUGGCUGUCGUCAGCUCGUGUCGUGAGAUGUUGGGUUAAGUCCCGCAACGAGCGCAACCCUUGUUCACUGUUGCCAGCACGUUAUGGUGGGGACUCAGUGGAGACCGCCGGGGCCAACUCGGAGGAAGGUGGGGAUGACGUCAAGUCAUCAUGCCCCUUAUGUCCAGGGCUUCACGCAUGCUACAAUGGCUGGUACAGAGAGUGGCGAGCCUGUGAGGGUGAGCGAAUCUCGGAAAGCCGGUCUCAGUUCGGAUUGGGGUCUGCAACUCGACCUCAUGAAGUCGGAGUCGCUAGUAAUCGCAGAUCAGCAACGCUGCGGUGAAUACGUUCCCGGGGCU
RNAcentral lists this ribosomal RNA (1346 nucleotides) under uncultured bacterium. RNAcentral describes it as "partial 16S ribosomal RNA". It matches the Rfam family "Bacterial small subunit ribosomal RNA", at positions 28 to 1381 of the family's 1533-position model. The record is from RNAcentral.